AAUAUGGCACAAUGGAGGGAACGCUGAUGCAGCGACGCCGUGUGAACGAUGAAGGCUUUCGAGUCGUAAAGUUCUGUCCUAGGGGACGAUAAUGACGGUACCCUAGGAGGAAGCCCCGGCUAACUACGUGCCAGCAGCCGCGGUAAUACGUAGGGGGCGAGCGUUGUCCGGAUUUAUUGGGCGUAAAGGGUACGCAGGCGGCCAUGUAAGUCAGAUGUGAAAGACCACAGCUUAACUGUGGUAAGCAUUUGAAACUGCUUGGCUUGAGUUAAGGAGAGGAAAGUGGAAUUCCUAGUGUAGCGGUGAAAUGCGUAGAUAUUAGGAAGAAUAUCAGUGGCGAAGGCGACUACCUGGACUGAUACUGACACUGAGGUGCGAAAGCGUGGGGAGCAAACA
This 396-nucleotide ribosomal RNA is filed under the name uncultured bacterium. RNAcentral's name for it is "partial 16S ribosomal RNA". It matches the Rfam family "Bacterial small subunit ribosomal RNA", at positions 360 to 774 of the family's 1533-position model. The record is from RNAcentral.